AGGGAGAAGAUUUGGCGGGAAGUGGUAGCCCCCAAACAUUUUUAAAAAUUUUAUAUGUUUACAUAUAUGGUGGUGAACUGGUAAUAUGUAUAAAUUAUAUAAGUAUUUCCUAGUUGCUUCCCACCCAAUAUACUUCUAUUAGGCUUUGGCCCCUCUUGGAAUGCUUUGUAGCAUUGAUAGACAGUUGUAUUGCUAAUUUUCAACUUCUGUUAUCAAACAUCAUCACUUGUGAUAUCUGUUUGAUCUUCA
Long non-coding RNA from Ipomoea nil (Japanese morning glory), 249 nucleotides. RefSeq lists it as uncharacterized. The record is from RefSeq and is a predicted model, not a curated record. The transcript has 3 exons. NCBI's taxonomy places the organism in Eukaryota, Viridiplantae, Streptophyta, Magnoliopsida, Solanales, Convolvulaceae.